This 333-nucleotide ribosomal RNA is filed under the name Vibrio vulnificus. RNAcentral describes it as "partial 23S ribosomal RNA". It matches the Rfam family "Bacterial large subunit ribosomal RNA", at positions 1430 to 1763 of the family's 2925-position model. Lineage: Bacteria; Pseudomonadati; Pseudomonadota; Gammaproteobacteria; Vibrionales; Vibrionaceae. The record is from RNAcentral.
UUAAUAUUCCCGUACUUCUUACAAUUGCGAUGGGGGGACGGAGAAGGCUAGGUGGGCCUGGCGACGGUUGUCCAGGUUCAAGUGCGUAGGCUGAGUGUUUAGGUAAAUCCGGACACUCUUAAGGCUGAGACACGACGUCGAGCUACUACGGUAGUGAAGUCAUUGAUGCCAUGCUUCCAGGAAAAGCCUCUAAGCUUCAGAUUGUAAGGAAUCGUACCCCAAACCGACACAGGUGGUCGGGUAGAGAAUACCAAGGCGCUUGAGAGAACUCGGGUGAAGGAACUAGGCAAAAUGGUACCGUAACUUCGGGAGAAGGUACGCUCUUGAUGGUGA